UGCCAUAAGGAGGUGGGUUAGUGGGAGAUUUGGGGUGACAGUGUUUGGCAGGGGCUACAAAGUGAAGAUGUAGGGAGGGGAGAAAGCGCUUGGUGCCUUGGGCUGACACCAAGGCUUUGGGAGGCGACUCCCUGCUGGUACUGCAGUGAGAGAGGAGCAGGGGAGCAACCAGACGAGCAAAGACAGCCGCCACCUCACACUGGGUGAUGACUGAACUAACUCCAUCUUGCACACUAAUAAUACGGCAUCAGUGGCUCUUGGUGCUGAGCUUGCAGACCAGUGGCAUCACUAACUCUAUUUUGUGCUCAGAAUCAUACAUUCCUUAUCAAAAGUAUAAAAGUGUCAUAUUUCUUCACUCUUUUCCGGGCUUUAUUCAGACUGCACUCCAGAUCUUUUCCAUAAAAAACUUUUUAGGAGCAGUUUGACAGAGACAGAGCUGUGUUUGAGGUAUUGGUUUGUUGGUUUGAUGUACAUUAUCUGUUAUUCGUAUGGACCACAAAGAAAGUGGAUGUGAUCUUUUCCUUCAAAACUGCCUUGUGAAUACAAUUCUAAAAUAAACUAUAAAAACUAUCACACCAUA
This is a long non-coding RNA of Xiphophorus hellerii (green swordtail), 580 nucleotides long. RefSeq lists it as uncharacterized. The transcript is spliced from 2 exons. The record is from RefSeq and is a predicted model, not a curated record. NCBI's taxonomy places the organism in Eukaryota, Metazoa, Chordata, Actinopteri, Cyprinodontiformes, Poeciliidae.